Molecule: ribosomal RNA, 178 nt
Filed under: uncultured Bifidobacterium sp.
Lineage: Bacteria; Bacillati; Actinomycetota; Actinomycetes; Bifidobacteriales; Bifidobacteriaceae
Description: partial 16S ribosomal RNA
Rfam family: Bacterial small subunit ribosomal RNA
Source: RNAcentral
AGCCCUUCGGGGUGAGUGUACCUUUCGAAUAAGCACCGGCUAACUACGUGCCAGCAGCCGCGGUAAUACGUAGGGUGCAAGCGUUAUCCGGAAUUAUUGGGCGUAAAGGGCUCGUAGGCGGUUCGUCGCGUCCGGUGUGAAAGUCCAUCGCUUAACGGUGGAUCCGCGCCGGGUACGG